Molecule: ribosomal RNA, 758 nt
Filed under: bacterium enrichment culture clone PF-1_58
Lineage: Bacteria
Description: bacterial SSU rRNA
Rfam family: Bacterial small subunit ribosomal RNA
Source: RNAcentral
UAGAGUUUGAUCCUGGCUCAGCUUGAACGCUGGCGGCAUGCCUUACACAUGCAAGUCGGACGGCAGCGCGGGCUUCGGCCUGGCGGCGAGUGGCGAACGGGUGAGUANNNNNUCGGAACAUGUCCUGUAGUGGGGGAUAGCCCGGCGAAAGCCGGAUUAAUACCGCAUACGAUCUACGGAUGAAAGCGGGGGACCUUCGGGCCUCGCGCUAUAGGGUUGGCCGAUGGCUGAUUAGCUAGUUGGUGGGGUAAAGGCCUACCAAGGCGACGAUCAGUAGCUGGUCUGAGAGGACGACCAGCCACACUGGGACUGAGACACGGCCCAGACUCCUACGGGAGGCAGCAGUGGGGAAUUUUGGACAAUGGGCGAAAGCCUGAUCCAGCAAUGCCGCGUGUGUGAAGAAGGCCUUCGGGUUGUAAAGCACUUUUGUCCGGAAAGAAAUCCUUGGCUCUAAUACAGUCGGGGGAUGACGGUACCGGAAGAAUAAGCACCGGCUAACUACGUGCCAGCAGCCGCGGUAAUACGUAGGGUGCAAGCGUUAAUCGGAAUUACUGGGCGUAAAGCGUGCGCAGGCGGUUUGCUAAGACCGAUGUGAAAUCCCCGGGCUCAACCUGGGAACUGCAUUGGUGACUGGCAGGCUAGAGUAUGGCAGAGGGGGGUGGAAUUCCACGUGUAGCAGUGAAAUGCGUAGAGAUGUGGAGGAAUACCGAUGGCGAAGGCAGCCCCCUGGGCCAAUGCUGACGCUCAUGCACGAAAGC